UACAGGGGGUGCAAACGUUGCUCGGAAUCAUUGGGCGUAAAGCGCACGUAGGCGGUUCGUUAUGUCGGAUGUGAAAGCCCUUGGCUUAACCGAGGAAGUGCAUCCGAAACUGGCGAGCUAGAGUACGAAAGAGGAUCGCGGAAUUCCCGGUGUAGAGGUGAAAUUCGUAGAUAUCGGGAGGAACACCGGUGGCGAAGGCGGGUCUCUGGGCCGUUACUGACGCUGAGGAGCGAAAGCGUGGGGAGCGAACAGG
Molecule: ribosomal RNA, 253 nt
Filed under: uncultured bacterium
Lineage: Bacteria
Description: partial 16S ribosomal RNA
Rfam family: Bacterial small subunit ribosomal RNA
Source: RNAcentral